GUGCUCACUUCGGCAGCACAUAUACUAAAAUUGGAACAAUACAGAAAAGAUUAGCAUGGCCCCUGCGCAAGAAUGACACGCAAAUU
RNAcentral lists this small nuclear RNA (86 nucleotides) under Cervus elaphus hippelaphus. Lineage: Eukaryota; Metazoa; Chordata; Mammalia; Artiodactyla; Cervidae. The record is from RNAcentral.